This 365-nucleotide ribosomal RNA is filed under the name Burkholderia sp. L9. RNAcentral describes it as "partial 16S ribosomal RNA". It matches the Rfam family "Bacterial small subunit ribosomal RNA", at positions 62 to 455 of the family's 1533-position model. Lineage: Bacteria; Pseudomonadati; Pseudomonadota; Betaproteobacteria; Burkholderiales; Burkholderiaceae. The record is from RNAcentral.
UCGAACGGCAGCACGGGUGUUSCUGGKGGCGAGUGGCGAACGGGUGAGUAAUACAUCGGAACAUGUCCUGUAGUGGGGGAUAGCCCGGCGAAAGUGUAAUACRGCAUACGAUCUACCGUGAAAGCGGGGGACUUCGCMCUCGCGCUAUAUGGWUGCCGAUGGUGAUUAGCUAGUUGGGGGGWAAAGGCUUCCAAGGGACGAUCAGUAGCUGUCUGAGAGGCGACCAGCCCCWUGGGGCUGUGACRSGCCCAGACUCCUCGGGGGGAGCAGUGGGGGAUUUUGGACAAUGGGCGAAACCGWUUCYCCAAWCCGCGUCUUURAAGAGGCUUUCGGGGUUUAAAAAUUUUUUUCGGRAAAAAACCUUU